ACCACAUAUAUAUCGGAAAAGCUGCAAAUUGCAGCCUUAUCACUCAGCAUGGCUUUCAACAAAUUAGCACCUGCGGUAGGGUUCGUGGUAGCGCUGACGGCGUUCCGCCUCACGAGUGUUGGAGCUUCGGCGCCACCAGGCAACUGCACAAGGGAAUGCGGUGGGCUGGAGAUCCCUUACCCGUUUGGCAUCGACCUCGAGGAUGGCUGCCAAUUUUCUGACCGCCGGCAAGGCUUCAAGCUACGCUGCCUAGACCACGGCCAGGUCCGGUGGCUGAACAACAUCUCCUCCUACUGCUACAACGCCACCGCCGGGAAAAUGGAGGUCAACAGCCCGCCGUCCAACAUGGACCUGGAGGGCUCCGUCUUCCGGCUCUCAUCACGUCGUACGCCGCCGUGUGCGGGGCCACGUGCAAGGACGGCAACCUCUCGCUGCUGACCAACGGCUCCUGUGAGGGGAUCGGCUGCUGCCGGACGGCGAUCCCGAGGGGGCUGGAGAACUACCGGGUGUGGUUCGACAAGAGCUUCAGCAGCCGCAGCUGUAGCUACGCGGCGCUCGUCGAGGCGUCCAACUUCACCUUCUCGUCCGCCUACCUUUCCUCGUCGGCGUUCGUCGACGCCUACGGCGGGCAGGCGCCGCUGGUGGUGGACUGGGCUAUUGGAACGCUGCAAGGGGAGACGUGCGAGUCAGCGCGCGCCAAGCCGGAGUCCUAUGCGUGCGUCGGCAACGACAGCGUGUGCGUGGACUCGCCUAUUGGACGAGGCUACAUCUGCAAAUGCAAGGGAGGGUUCCAAGGAAAUCCUUACCUUCCAUACGGAUGCAAAGAUGUCAAUGAGUGCCUUGACCCAAAAAAUUGUGAAGGGACGUGCCACAAUAUUAUUGGAGACUUCAUCUGUUGUCCUCCGAGAACAAAAUAUGAUCCCCAAAAAAUGCAAUGCACCUCUACCAAAAAGAGAACUCUUGUCAUAGGUGUUAUUAUUGGGUUGGGUGCGGGCUUUGGAAUGUUACUUCUUGGCGUGAGUGGAAUGUCCCUCUCCUAUCGAUGGAAAAGAGGUAUCAAAAAACAAAAACGCAGGCUUUAUUUUCAGAAAAACCAAGGCCUUCUAUUGGAACAACUCAUAUUAUCAGAUGAAAAUGCAAGUGAUAGAACAAUGAUUUUCUCCUUAGAGGAGUUGGAGAAGGCAACAAACAACUUUGAUGAAACUCGGAUUGUGGGCCGUGGAGGACAUGGCAUGGUAUACAAAGGCAUCUUAUCUGACCAACGUGUGGUGGCUAUAAAAAGGUCAAAACUUGUUGAUGAAUCUGAGAUCCAUCAGUUUAUUAAUGAGGUUGUGAUCCUCUCCCAGAUAAAUCACCGAAAUAUCGUGAAGCUCUUUGGAUGUUGUCUUGAAACAGAAGUGCCCCUCUUAGUGUCUGAUUUUAUCCCUAAUGGCUCUCUAUUUGAUGUUUUGCAUGGUGAGCCAACUCAUGGGAUGAUUGUUUGAGGGUUGCUCAAGAAACCGCUGGAGCUCUCUGCUAUCUACAUACAUCUGCUUCGAUACGGUCUUUCAUCGUGAUGUGAAGUCCUCGAAUAUCUUGUUAGAUGGAAAUUUUACUGCUAAAGUUUCAGAUUUUGGUGCAUCAAGAACAGUUCCUAUUGACCAAACCCAUAUUACUACAAAUGUACAAGGAACAUUUGGAUACUUGGAUCCAGAAUAUUAUCAAACUGGGCAACUAAAUGAAAAAAGCGAUGUGUAUAGCUUUGGUGUGGUACUCGUAGAGUUACUUACAAGAAAAGAGCCUGUUUUUAGAAGUAACUCAGGUUCAAAGCAAAACUUGUCCAUCUACUUCAUCACAGAGACUAAAGCAAAGUCAGUAAGAGAGGUGGUAGCCACUCAAGUUCUUGAAGAAGCAAGUGAGGAUGAAAUUUGUAUCGUUGCCUCUCUUGCAGAGUCGUGUUUGCGUCUCCAGGGAGAAGAAAGGCCUACUAUGAAGCAAGUGGAGAGUACAUUACAAUAUUUGCGAACAAAAAGGUUGGCCUCAUGUCAUGUUGUUGAAAGGAACGAAGAGGAGAUCCAACCACUUGUCCCUAAAUUUGAACCUUUUGCAAUUCAUAUGGAUGACAAGGUCCAUUCAGAAUCAUCUAGUUCUUUCUUCAGUUCAGGGUGACAGUUUUUUUCUUUUCCUUUUGAGAAUGUCCGGGGUGAGAGUUUAUGUCAUUUGCUUAUCUGGUUCCAAAUAUCUGAAGUUGUUAGUUUGCACUUUUUUUGUAUCGUUGAGACUUAAUAAUCGUCAUGAUAUUUCUCAGUAGCGGGUUUGCAGAACAAUUCAUUACUAUGUGAAGACGGGAGUAGAAUAAUGGCUUAUUCGGCCAAACACAUGUACUGUGGUCAAGAGUGUUAGAUUUUUCUAUGGCUGUUUAUCAGCAUAUUUCUUCUUGCAAGAAUUGAGAUUAAAAAAAUUCUUCUCACUGCAUAUUUCAUGCAAGAGCUAUGACAACAUUUUGCCAUUUUUGUCUUGCUUGUAUUUGUUGUAACAAAUAACAAUGGAACUAAAAUAACUCACAGUGGUCAUUUGAAUUACAAUGUACCGUCCAAUCCGUGGAUGCCCCAUUACGUCCAUCCAAACAGACCCCCAGAACUGUGGAACGGUACAUUUUCGCUGCUACUACAGAAAAAAGUUUUUUUAAGGAUAAAAAAAAGUUUGCUUAAGCACAAUCCUAAUUCUUAACAACUUCCGUUCUCUGAAUUCGGAAGACUAAUAAGUGGCGGGAUAUAUAUAAAGCACAUGUAAUUGUGAUUUGUGCAUUGCGCCAUCAACCCUUGUGUAUGGCAGUUGUACGGGGAAAAAAACAGGGCGGAGAAUAGAACUCUGCUUAAUCAACAAGGUUCAAGUGCAUCUUAAAUGUCUUCUCAUUUUUAGAGAAUGCCAUUCGGCGAGCUUUAUUGAUUAGAUAAAGUAUAUCGUUGAUGAACAUAGCAAAAAAAUGAAACUAGGCCC
Molecule: RNA transcript, 2979 nt
Organism: Hordeum vulgare subsp. vulgare (domesticated barley)
Lineage: Eukaryota; Viridiplantae; Streptophyta; Magnoliopsida; Poales; Poaceae
Gene name: putative wall-associated receptor kinase-like 16
Exons: 3
Source: RefSeq, a predicted model, not a curated record